This is a non-coding RNA of Trametes punicea, 82 nucleotides long. The record is from the annotation of a GenBank genome assembly. Lineage: Eukaryota; Fungi; Basidiomycota; Agaricomycetes; Polyporales; Polyporaceae.
GGUGCUAUAGUGUAGUGGUUAUCACUCGGGAUUUUGAUUCUCAACGCUUCCCGAAACCCAGGUUCGAACCCUGGUAGCACCU